RNA transcript from Cucumis sativus (cucumber), 2840 nucleotides. It is a transcript of the gene named transcription termination factor MTEF1, chloroplastic, with no coding region annotated. Lineage: Eukaryota; Viridiplantae; Streptophyta; Magnoliopsida; Cucurbitales; Cucurbitaceae. The record is from RefSeq and is a predicted model, not a curated record. The transcript is spliced from 3 exons.
UACUAAACAUGUUGAAUUAGUAUCAGCCAACUGAAGAAGACGUUUAACUAUAACUUGUGUGCUAUGUUGCUACUUUUAUUUACAGCUCCAUAUCAGCGGGAGCAAAUCAAAGACAGUGCCUUAGCUGCCAAACAAGACAGUCAGGGAUCAAGAAAAAGAAAACAACUCCCUGAAACCUCAUUUCAUGGAGAGUAAGCGCCGAGUCUCCUUUGCUCGGUGACAGCCACCUCGAGAGGGUGCUUCUGAAAUAGUGUUUCUAUUAGGCUAUCGGCUUCUUGCUGUAAGCUAUAGUUGCGUGGUAUCGAUGAACUUGAACAAGACGAGUUGAACAUAGUUCAAAAUCAUCCUCAAACUGUCAGCAAAAAGCUUGGGUCUUUGAGGAUGAUAAGCAGACUCCCACUUCCUCCCUCAAGCUUCUUCUUCUUCUUCUUUCCUCCCUCAUUGGCCGGGUCUCUUAAACCUUUGACAAACCCUAGUUUCAGAAAACCUCGUUUCACCCUUUCUCUCGAUACCCAAUUUUCUGACCGCUUCGACUCCGGCCUACUUUUCCGUGAGAAAAUACUCUACCUUGAGAACCACCUCAAUGUCGAUUCCCGCAAAGCCUUCCGGGAGAAUCCCCAUUGUCGCUCUGCUACUCUCUCCACUCUCAAAUCCGUCGAGGUCUGUCUCUCUUCCAUGGGACUUGACCGAUCUGCAGUCAGCCGCGUUCUCGAUAUGCACCCCAAACUCCUGACCUCGAAUCCGGACUAUGAUAUUUACCCCAUCUUUGAUUUUCUUCUUAAUGAAGUUGAAAUUCCAUUUCCCGACAUUCGUAAAUCUAUAAUUCGAUGCCCUAGAAUUCUCGUCUCCGACUUGGACCAUCAAUUGCGACCUGCUUUGAAGUUCUUGCGUGACCUGGGUUUUGUUGGGUUGAAAGCCAUCACGUGCCAGACGACAUUGCUACUGGUUUCGAGUGUUGAACAUACCCUUUUGCCUAAGAUUCAGUACCUUGAGAGCUUGGGCUUAUCGCAUGAGGAUGUGGUUAAUAUGGUGUUAAGGUCUCCGGGUUUGUUGACUUAUAGCAUUCAAAACAAUUUGGUUCCUAAAGUGAGUUAUUUCUUAGGAGACAUGAAGGGUGAUUUGUUGGAAUUGAAACGGUUUCCGCAAUAUUUUUCGUUUAACUUGGAGAGGAAGAUUAAGCUGCGUCAUCGUUCACUGGUUGAACAUGGUUUGUCACUUCCUUUGUCGAAAAUGCUGAAGGCUAGUGACGGGGAGUUCAAUGCAUGGUUGAUAGAAAUGCGGUGCAGUUCGUUGAUGGCUGAUCGUUGAAGUGAGUUGCUUUGCUUCCUGUAGUUUUGUAGUUUCUUUGGAUGAGAUUAUUUAGGAUGCUGCUUUUCUCUGUACAGUUCGGCAAAUCAUUCCCUGUUUUUCCCUCCCUGGAACUGUGGUGGAAAUGAUUCUACAGCUCGAUCGACAAGACCAGGCAUUCUACCAUAUUCAUCUUUUAAUGCUGACCUUGACUAUCUAAAUUGGUUGGGCUGGAGGGAUUCACACGAUUGUUCCCAUCUUGAGUGAGAUCAUCAGUCAGAAUGUUUGCUAUUUAAACAGAGAAUACGUAGAAGACAGAGACUCAACGCUUCCACAAUUACCAUUUGUUGAUGCAAUGCCGGCCCUGACUACUGUAAUUUGUUGAGAACUUUGGAGACUUGCAAGUUUGGCCCCCAUCCCAAAUGACUGCAUCACAUCUGGAAGAUUGCUGUCUAAGUAGAAAAUAUCGUGAAAACUAUGCGAUUCCCCUUGAACCCCUACCAUCAAUUGAAUUUAAUUUCCUAUGAGAGGCAUUGUAAGAACACUCAACCUGUAUAUUCUAAAUCUUUGACCAUUGUUUGAAAUUCAUCAGAAAGAACAUGUGGUUGGGUUUGCAAAAGGCUCAAACUUCAAGGAAGAAGAAAGGGAAAGAUAGGGUGAAGUGAACCCCCAAAAGGCCCAAAUCAUAUGAUAACUUAAGGCAAUGUACACCUCCAUUCUGGGGGCUAUAAAUGCAGUCUACUGAAAUCAUCAGUAGGACUUGAAUUAUAUUUUUCUGGUGGAAGAAAAGUUAGUGGUGUUGAAAAUGAAACUAGAUUUUGUCCCACCAAAGUUAGAAACAAUGAGAGAUUGAUUUCAUAAUGCAUGAUGAUUCAUUUUCUUGUUGAAACAUGAGCCGAAGGACACGGUUUCUUGCUGCAGAAAUGCAUCACUGUUCAGUAGUCCAGAUUCCAGGGGUACGUUGUCCAUUACAUUACAUGACAAGUUUUGAAGGGUACAGUAUGUAUGAAAGGCCUUGGGGUCAUCUCUGUUUCUCGGGACAACAAAUGCAAAUGCAAAUGCAAAAUUUGGGGUCAGCAUUCGUCACCUCUGGACCCCUUUACCUUCCUACAAUCAAUUUGCUCAGACACAGAAAAACAAGAGAGAAGGCAUCUGUCCCAUUCUUUAAUCAUUCACCCUCGAAGGAUGGGAUGAGUUUUUGAUUUGAAAUUCAUGGUCUUCAUUUAAUUCUGUCUCUCUCUGCUCUACUCUACUCUUAAACAGUAUUCUAUUUAUAUUAUGGUUGGUUGCUUCUAAGACAGAUCUGUCUCACAGGAGAAUGAAUGUUCUACGUAAGUCAAGUUGGUUUCAACUUUCAAUACUUGGAUUAAUUUUGGUUUAUACAUUAGAUGUUAAGAUAGAAAUGGUUUUUGAUUUGUUGGCAUGAGAUAUUAUUGUAAAUGCUUAUCUCGGAUGGAAGAGUAGGCCAAAGAGAAUUCAUAGACAGUGAAAUUAUCUGUUAUGAGACAGCAAUUUCAGAAUCCACAUGUUAUGAAUUUAUGGUUGUGAAGGAA